AAUAGAUACCCAGGUAGUCCACGCCGUAAACGAUGAGUGCUAGGUGUUAGGGGGUCCAACCCUUAGUGCCGAAGUUAACACAUUAAGCACUCCGCCUGGGGAGUACGGUCGCAAGACUGAAACUCAAAGGAAUUGACGGGGGCCCGCACAAGCGGUGGAGCAUGUGGUUUAAUUCGAAGCAACGCGAAGAACCUUACCAGGGCUUGACAUCCCUCUGACCGUUCUAGAGAUAGAGCUUCCCUUUGGGGCAGAGGUGACAGGUGGUGCAUGGUUGUCGUCAGCUCGUGUCGUGAGAUGUUGGGUUAAGUCCCGCAACGAGCGCAACCCUUGUCCUUAGUUGCCAGCAUUCAGUUGGGCACUCUAGGGAGACUGCCGGUGACAAACCGGAGGAAGGUGGGGAUGACGUCAAAUCAUCAUGCCCCUUAUGUCCUGGGCUACACACGUGCUACAAUGGCUGGUACAAAGGGUAGCGAAGCAGUGAUGUGGAGCCAAUCCCAAAAAGCCAGUCACAGUUCGGAUUGUAGGCUGCAACUCG
RNAcentral lists this ribosomal RNA (535 nucleotides) under uncultured bacterium. RNAcentral's name for it is "bacterial SSU rRNA". It matches the Rfam family "Bacterial small subunit ribosomal RNA", at positions 777 to 1314 of the family's 1533-position model. The record is from RNAcentral.